Drosophila nasuta is the source of this 1318-nucleotide long non-coding RNA. RefSeq lists it as uncharacterized. The transcript has 3 exons. The record is from RefSeq and is a predicted model, not a curated record. Lineage: Eukaryota; Metazoa; Arthropoda; Insecta; Diptera; Drosophilidae.
AUCACUAAUAAGAAAACAAACAAAAAGGUAAUAGCUUUUUUUGCUGCACUCAGUUUUUUUUACGUUUCGCACCGACGAACGUAACAUUCGACCUGAACGGAAAAAAAACCGAGGUUUUUGGUGCAGUGGAAAUAGGCUAUUAAUAUACAGCUACCGCGCAAUUUUAAAUUGCUGUCGAAAAUUAUAGCUCUAUCUCUAAUAGUCUCUGAGAUCCAGUGUUUCAUACGGACAGACACACAGACGGACAUGGCUAGAUCGUCUCGGCUAUUGAUGCUGAUCAAGAAUAUAUAUACUUUAUACAUACAUUUCCUGCCGGAACAAAUUAUAAUACCCUUCUACCCUAUGGGUAGCGGGUAUAAAAACUAUUGACGACGGGCCACAGCUGGACCCUGGCGUAACCACCCUACUUGAGAUGGCCACAUCGGCGCCAUCUCCCUUGCGUUGGCCGCUACAGCAGUGGCUGCUCCUCAUCUGGCGUAGUGCUGUGGAAUUCCCCAUCCCCCAUCCCACGAAACGAUCAUGUUCACCGUCGCAAAUGACAAACAAAGAACAAAAUAGCGCAAAAGGAACGAGGCGAAGCAAUAUAGCCACAACGGCGUAAAGGACAAUUUCUUUUAUAUGUUACGCAUUUGGGAGAUUAGUAUAUAUUCAUUUAUUAAUUUAUAUACGCAUGUUUGUGUAUAUGUACAUAUAUAUACAUAUAUGUUUACGUCGCUUAAUUCUCUAGCUUGACCUACCUAAGAGCUCUUGGGAUUGGUUAAGGGGUGAGGUAAUAGAAGAUAUAUGUAUAUAUAUGAAUUUGUAAAUAUCAAUAUGUAAAUCUCGCCGCGAGUAAAUUUGUAGGUUUGUAUGUAUGUCGUCCCUACUCUUGCUUUAAUAUUCUUUAAUUGCUUUUAACUUUUAAUUUCUUUUCUUUUCAACCAAUUUAAAAUCUUUUUUUUUUUUUGGUUUUGCACAAACAUCUUUUGGUUGCUUUGUCUCAUUCUAUAAUAGUUUAUUACUCUAAUCAUAGUAAAAAUUAUAAAUAAAUGAGUAGUAAUUGACCAAAGCGAGAAAGUCAAUAAAUGAAUAAAGGUCUCAAAAACUCCGGAAUAAGCAGCGAAUGUAAUGUCAAAUUAGUUAUAUGGUUUAUAAUUAACGACAAUUACGAGCUCGAUCGAGCAAUCUGCUACCAAUGAUGAUUGCGAUGUCCCUCGUGACUCGUUGUUACUAAAGUGCCGUGCGUCGCCUCGCUGCGAUGGUUGUCUGCACUCGGGCUUCUCUCCAGCGGUGAUAGUCGCCGUUGUUUGUCGCGCCGUUAAUUUUUGGACGUUAUAUC